AGUUCCUCAGAUUCAGCGCGGGGGAGAGCUGCGGGCCCCGCCGGGGGAGCCCAGGGGGCCUUCGCAGAGGAUCUGGAGGCCUUUCAGAAAGGAAGCCAGGUCUAACCCGGCCUUCCGCUCCAAGACUAAGUGAUGGUCUACGCCGCCGGCGGCCGAAUCCCCACCCGCCCUACCAGAGGCUAAGCCCCCACCUCGCGCUUAAGGGAACGAGUCCCGAUCUGUCGCCGUAGUGCCGCCCCAGGCUGCCGGCCGCCGAGUCCCCGUUCCCUCCGCACCCGCCACCCCGCGUAGGCUGACUCCCCGCUUGCCGCCCCAAACCGAAGUCCCAAUUUUUAGCUUCAGUGGCCUCAGAGACCUGACUUUUCCAAGCUUCCAUAGGAAGGUGAGGAUGGAGAGCAUCUGGCAUCCGGAGCCCCUGUCCCUCGGCACAGCCCCGAGGCCUCCGGGGGGUCGGGGGAAAGGGUUCGGGGACCGCAGGGGCGAUGAAGCCCCAAACCCUGAGCCAUUCUCCGUGCUUCUGGCCUUAGAGGGACUUGCGCACACAUGGCUGAGAAUAUUAACCAGAAAGGUGUUACUGAUACCAGAAAGGGGUCCCGAUCCAGACCCCAAGAGAGAGUUCUUGGACCUUGGGCAAAAAUUCCAGGCGAUUCCAUAGAGUAAAGUGAAAGCAAGUUUAUUAAGAAAGCAAAGGAAUAAAGAAGGGCUACUCCAUAGGCAGAGCACCAGCGUGGGCUGCUCAACUGAUUGUAGUUACUUCCUGACUAUAUGCCAAACAAGGGGUGGAUUAUUCAGGAGUUUUCCAGGAAAGGGGUGGGCAGUUCCUGGAACUGAAGGUUCUUCCCCCUCUUUUAGACCAUAUAGGGUAACUUCUGGACAUUACCAUGGCAUUUGUAAACUGUCAUGGUGCAAAAAAAAAAAAAAAAAAAAAAAAAAAAAAAGACACUUUUAUCAUGCUAAAAUAUUAUAAUUAGCAUAUAAUGAGCAGUGAGGACGAUCAGAGGUCACUUUCCUGGCCAUCUUGGUUGUGGUGGUUUUGGGCAGGCU
RNAcentral lists this long non-coding RNA (1044 nucleotides) under Homo sapiens (human). RNAcentral describes it as "non-protein coding lnc-TMC2-4:2". Lineage: Eukaryota; Metazoa; Chordata; Mammalia; Primates; Hominidae. The record is from RNAcentral.